UAAUACCCGAUGUGCCGAGAGGUGAAACUAUAUGGCCUGAGGAUGAGCUCGCGUCUGAUUAGCUAGUUGGUGGGGUAAGGGCCCACCAAGGCGACGAUCAGUAGCUGGUCUGAGAGGAUGAUCAGCCACACUGGGACUGAGACACGGCCCAGACUCCUACGGGAGGCAGCAGUGGGGAAUUUUCCGCAAUGGGCGAAAGCCUGACGGAGCAAGACCGCGUGAGGGAGGAAGGCCUAUGGGUUGUAAACCUCUUUUGAUAGGGAAGAAGAACAUGACGGUACCUAUCGAAUCAGCCUCGGCUAACUCCGUGCCAGCAGCCGCGGUAAUACGGAGGAGGCAAGCGUUAUCCGGAAUUAUUGGGCGUAAAGCGUCCGUAGGUGGCGAAUCAAGUCAGUUGUUAAAGCGUGGAGCUUAACUCCAUACCAGCAGUGGAAACUGGUUGGCUAGAGUGCGAUAGGGGCAAGGGGAAUUCCCAGUGUAGCGGUGAAAUGCGUAGAUAUUGGGAAGAACACCGGUGGCGAAAGCGCCUUGCUGGGCCUGCACUGACACUGAGGGACGAAAGCUAGGGGAGCGAAAGGGAUUAGAUACCCCAGUAGUCC
RNAcentral lists this ribosomal RNA (599 nucleotides) under uncultured Oscillatoriales cyanobacterium. RNAcentral describes it as "bacterial SSU rRNA". It matches the Rfam family "Bacterial small subunit ribosomal RNA", at positions 164 to 796 of the family's 1533-position model. The record is from RNAcentral. Lineage: Bacteria; Bacillati; Cyanobacteriota; Cyanophyceae; Oscillatoriales.